GAUGAACGCUGGCGGCGUGCCUAAUACAUGCAAGUCGAGCGAACAGACGAGGAGCUUGUUCCUCUUACGUUAGCGGCGGACGGGUGAGUAACACGUGGAUAACCUACCUUUAAGCCGGGGAUAACUUCGGGAAACCGGUGCUAAUACCGGAUAAUAUAUUUAACCGCAUGUUUCAAUAUUGAAAGACGGUUUUGCUUCACUUAAUAGUUGUACCGCCUCGAAUUAGCUAGUUGGUAAGGUAAAGGCUUACCAAGGCAACGAUGCGUAGCCGACCUGAGAGGGUGAUCGGCCACACUGGAACUGAGAAACGGUCAAGACUCCUACGGGAGGCAGCAGUAGGGAAUCUUCCGCAAUGGGCGAAAGCCUGACGGAGCAACGCCGCGUGAGUGAUGAAGGUCUUCGGAUCGUAAAACUCUGUUAUUAGGGAAGAACAAAUGUGUAAGUAAAUAUGCACGUAUUGACGGUACCUAAUCAGAAAGCCACGGCUAACUACGUG
Molecule: ribosomal RNA, 496 nt
Filed under: uncultured bacterium
Lineage: Bacteria
Description: partial 16S ribosomal RNA
Rfam family: Bacterial small subunit ribosomal RNA
Source: RNAcentral